UGGGGUAACAAACGAGCUAGCCUUUGUCCUGCAUUGUUGUCCUUUGCUAAUGCGCUCUGCUGCUUGACUGAGCUGAACCAGUGGAAACAUGGCUUUGUUUUCAGAGGUUUUCUUAGAGCUAAUGCUGACUUCUAAUGAGGGAUUGCUAAUGGGGAGUUUCAGGGUGACAUAAGCAACGUUUACUCAGGUAUUUUCUUCUUGCAAGGAGGCAGCAGAUGUGCCGGCAGCUCCGUGGGAAGUUCAUGUCCCUCCAGCUUGACCUUAAUCAGGUGAUUGGCCAAGGCAAACUCCUCGUCGUCGAGCAUCCCGUCCUUGUCGAUGUCCGCCAGCUUCCAGAUCUUUCCCAGCACCGUGUUGGGCAGCUUGGACUUGACCAUCUCCCUCUUGGCGUUGGCCCCCGUCACCUUGCCGUUGACGGGCGACAGCGUGUAGAAGAUCUCGUCGUAGGCCGGCUUGUCGCGCGCCACCACCCACUCGGCCUCGUCGAUGCCCUCGCCGGCCCCCUCGCCGUAGCCGUGGCCGAAGGGGCCGUUGAGGGUGCCAUCGAAGGCGCCUCCCUUGACGACGGGGUUGGGCCGCUGGUUUUCCUCCUGCCGCACCAGCACCAUCAGGCCGGCGAUGUCAUGGGCCAGCAUGUCGUCCACCGCCUCCAGGAGUUUGGACUUGAGAGGCUGGAACUUGGUUUGGGAAAUCUCCAGGCAUCUCUUUCUUCAGGGAGCUGAUAAUGUAGGCAUGCACCUGCGUGACAAGACAAGACAAGAUGCCAAUCAGGACAACACCGCCAUGGUGGACGGGGCCGAAGCUCAGAAGAGAAACUCAGCCACUUCAUUAGGGCCUUGAUAACCUCCGAAAACUCGUCGGAAAUGUCCAGUUUGUGGGCGUCGAACAGGAGGAUGAUCCUGUCCACGCGUUCAGCGAACCACUCCAGGACGGCUGCAAAGUCGUAGCCUGGGAAGGACAACGGAUCCCCGGGGUGUCAAUCACACUGAUGCUCUCCAGCACAGGCGUCAGAACGUGGAGGGGGAAGGCGUACCUGUUGAGGAAGGCGUUCCCAAAGGCGUUCAGCUUCCUGAAGGGCUUCUUGGGGUCCACCACCAGGGCGUUGCCGGGCACCACCCCCUCGGUGUCGCCGUGCAUCACCGCGAUGAAGGAAUCCGUGGUGGGUUCGGGGCCGAUGCGCAUCCCAGGAAAAUCCUGCUCCAACAGGUAGCUGUGGGCCAAGUGAGGCAUUCAAUAACAAGAUAUUCAAGAUACAACUAUUAAAACAACUUUUUCAAGUUACCAACAAGCAGUACAGUUGGGUCCAAACCGGCACGGUGCGCAAUUAUGGUGGUUUCCAUUUAGAAAAACUACAGUACCUUCUACGCUGCGUCACUACCCACUACCCUGUUGGUGACAAACAACAGGUAAACACACUGUACAACUUGUAUUGCAGUAUUCACUGACUAGACACUGAAAAUGACACCUCACAGUGUCCAAAUUGUGCCCCAAGCCUCAAAAUGUUGUGGCUCACAUGCUUUGGAGGUGUGUUUAGUUUUGUUAUCUUGCGAGAAAACAGUUCCCGCAGGGGAAGGGAAUAUAUGGUACACUGUAACCAUCGGGCAGAUGGCUCCUGGUGGCUUUAAAGGCUCCGUCUAAUCCGCCCGUAGAAGAUGCCAAUUUAAGUUAAUGCUCUUUAGUGGAAAGAUCUUUUUAGUAAAACUCCCUAAACAAACCACGCCCCAGUCGUCAAAUUGCAUUGUUUUAAUCAAUCUUGUCUGGAUGAAAUCCCCUCAGUCAAGAGCAGGGAGGAGAUCCAGAGCUGCAAAUAUCCACAAGAAUUCUACUCAGCGUGUUUGGAGGCAAGCUGGUGACUGGCUGAUGAUGAUGCAAAACAGCCCAGCUCAGAAGAGUCAACAGCGUUAAAGAGCAGGAAUGUCAGCAAAGCACGCUACAGCACGUGUAUCCAUCAUCCAUUUCAUGAUUAAAUGUCACAGUUUUAAACAUUUGUGGCUAUGACAAGUUAUAGCAACUUCAAGUCAUUUUUCAAAUAAUUUUAAAGCAUACAUUAAAAUAUAUUUUUACUGGACUUUUCCAGAUUUUUUGUAUAACUCAAUUAUAAUACAAAUUUGAAAUAUAUAUUAUUAUGAAUUAUUAUGAUGUCAGAAUUUAAAACUGUUGAAUUCUUUUAGA
Molecule: long non-coding RNA, 2172 nt
Organism: Dunckerocampus dactyliophorus (ringed pipefish)
Lineage: Eukaryota; Metazoa; Chordata; Actinopteri; Syngnathiformes; Syngnathidae
Exons: 6
Source: RefSeq, a predicted model, not a curated record